RNAcentral lists this ribosomal RNA (276 nucleotides) under Mycoplasmopsis arginini. RNAcentral's name for it is "partial 16S ribosomal RNA". It matches the Rfam family "Bacterial small subunit ribosomal RNA", at positions 760 to 1048 of the family's 1533-position model. Lineage: Bacteria; Bacillati; Mycoplasmatota; Mycoplasmoidales; Metamycoplasmataceae. The record is from RNAcentral.
CCUGGGAGCAAACAGGAUUAGAUACCCUGGUAGUCCACGCCGUAAACGAUGAUCAUUAGUCGGUGGAGAGUUCACUGACGCAGCUAACGCAUUAAAUGAUCCGCCUGAGUAGUAUGCUCGCAAGAGUGAAACUUAAAGGAAUUGACGGGGACCCGCACAAGCGGUGGAGCAUGUGGUUUAAUUUGAAGAUACGCGGAGAACCUUACCCACUCUUGACAUCCUUCGCAAUGCUAUAGAGAUAUAGCGGAGGUUAACAGAGUGACGGAUGGUGCAAGG